GCCAGGGAUAGCUCAGUUUGUAGAGCAUGAGGCUCUAAGUCUCAGGGUCAUGGGUUUGAGUCACACGCUGGGCA
Podarcis lilfordi (Lilford's wall lizard) is the source of this 74-nucleotide non-coding RNA. NCBI's taxonomy places the organism in Eukaryota, Metazoa, Chordata, Lepidosauria, Squamata, Lacertidae. The record is from the annotation of a GenBank genome assembly.